Long non-coding RNA from Amphimedon queenslandica, 319 nucleotides. RefSeq lists it as uncharacterized. The record is from RefSeq and is a predicted model, not a curated record. The transcript is spliced from 2 exons. Lineage: Eukaryota; Metazoa; Porifera; Demospongiae; Haplosclerida; Niphatidae.
UUGUAGCAGAAUCUAAUGAGGGUUCCGUUUCUCUUCUGUCCACUGUCCGAGGAGGCACACUACAUAUUGUAGUGUGCCUUAAUUGGGUUCAGCCACCAUAAAUCCUGACAAUUGGCCGUUAGAGGGGAGAGGAGGCAUAAAUUGUCAAGGAGGUGGCAUUCCCCAAGGUGUUUCCAAAGGAGUUAAUUAAAGAGGGAUAUGGAUUGGACAUCUGAGCCGUUGGGACAGUCAUUCAUAUCUCUGUUUUUUUUAACAUAUUGUGAGCAACCAAAGUGCUUGUGAAUAAUCUUCUGACUAUAUUAAUAAAUAAUAUACAUGA